CGGGGGUGGGUCUCGACCGGCGAGGGGGGCGGCGGCCGGCCGGCGGGGUCGCUGGCGUCCUCUUCCCGGGCCGGAGGCGGGGCGUGCCCGCAGCGGCUCCUCCCCCUGGGCUCCGCGCCGGCAAUGGGAGCCCUGGUGCGGGUGGGAGCGAGCAAGCGUGUCCUCCUUCCGCCUCCCCUCUCUGUCGUCCGCACUGGGCUGGGGCGGCGGCGCCUCAGCGGUUCCCUCGCGAGCCGGCAAGGACCCAGCGGCUGGGAGAGGAGGAGGAGCGGCUGGGCCGGGCGGAGACGCCAGCGGGCUCCGCGCACUGCAAUUCAGCCAAUCAGAGAUCUGAGCUGACGGUUACGUCGAUCUCUCCGCCCCAGGGACCGCCUUUCUCGGAGAAGCCACGCCCAACUGCUGCCUGGCUGGCUUCUCUUGCGACUUCCGCGAGGUCCUAAUGUCUGUCGUUUCCUGUGGCUGGAGGAGACCGGGUGAGACGGUGGUGCUAGGUGGUCUCACCAGGGCACGGGGAGAAGCGUGAGAGGCUCAAGUUAGAGAAGGAAAGUGGGCGACUUCAUUUUUCCCGAGGACCCAGACCCCGUUUUGACGACUGACACCCCACUGCUGUGCUCCUCGCUUCAGCUGCCUGCUCACCUCUGCCAGCACCGUCCCGGCGCCCUGAGCAAGUCCCGGGAGCCGGCGUUUCACCCUAGGACCGCGCAGACUCCAAGACGAACCGGUUCAAGUCCUCCACCGCCUGGUGGGCUUUAUCAAAGUCAGCAAUGGGAUUAUUCCCACCUUGUAAAACUUUACAGGGAUCAUUUGUGUUGAUUCUCCGAGUCGCAGAUCAGAGAAUUGGGCUGGGAUGCAAGGUUGUGGCCGUGACUUGGGGUCCCGGACAUUUGGACCGCGAGCUAGCCGCCAGGCUCAGACUGGCUGCUCUGUGCGGAGGUGGGGACUGGAGACCUGACCCGCCACUGGCCCAACGGUUGCUUCUGGAAGUGACCCAGAAUAUAUUCAACUAA
Molecule: long non-coding RNA, 1007 nt
Filed under: Urocitellus parryii (Arctic ground squirrel)
Lineage: Eukaryota; Metazoa; Chordata; Mammalia; Rodentia; Sciuridae
Description: lncRNA (ENSUPAG00010023874.1)
Source: RNAcentral